GACGAACGCUGGCGGCGUGCCUAAUACAUGCAAGUAGAACGCUGAAGAGAGGAGCUUGCUCUUCUUGGAUGAGUUGCGAACGGGUGAGUAACGCGUAGGUAACCUGCCUUGUAGCGGGGGAUAACUAUUGGAAACGAUAGCUAAUACCGCAUAACAAUGGAUGACACAUGUCAUUUAUUUGAAAGGGGCAAUUGCUCCACUACAAGAUGGACCUGCGUUGUAUUAGCUAGUAGGUGAGGUAAUGGCUCACCUAGGCGACGAUACAUAGCCGACCUGAGAGGGUGAUUGGCCACACUGGGAGGGAGACACGGCCCAGACUCCUACGGGAGGCAGCAGUAGGGAAUCGUCGGCAAUGGGGGCAAACCUGACCGAGCAACGCCGCGUGAGUGAAGAAGGUUUUCGGAUCGUAAAGCUCUGUUGUAAGUCAAGAACGGGUGUGAGAGUGGAAAGUUCACACUGUGACGGUAGCUUACCAGAAAGGGACGGCUAACUACGUG
RNAcentral lists this ribosomal RNA (497 nucleotides) under uncultured bacterium. RNAcentral describes it as "partial 16S ribosomal RNA". It matches the Rfam family "Bacterial small subunit ribosomal RNA", at positions 28 to 507 of the family's 1533-position model. The record is from RNAcentral.